GGUGUGGGAGGGGGUGAAAAAGUUCAACAUUUCCCAACUUUAUGACCACUGGGCAAUGACCAAUCAUAUCGAGUGGUUCCCAUGACGAAUUUGACACUAUGCGAACCAUCGCUGGAGACUUUCUUCAAUAUCAGCACUGAUCUGAGGACACAUGAUAGGCCAGAUCUCAAAGUGACACAGGAGUGAGGAGGUCCUCACCUGUCAAAACAGGAAAUUCAAAUACAGCUAACCACUGCAAACUUUCAAAUAGGGGAGUUCAAAAGAGAAAAUGCAGCAUUCAGACAAUCUCUCUCCGUGAUUGAAGGUAAGCUUUCCUGUUUGUGGAUGCUCCCAAUGAAUAUUCUCACCAUGCGUGCAAGUCCAGGUAUAGUUGUGUAUAUACCCAUAGAUACCAGUUGUAUAGUUUCUACCUAUCUAUUAGUUGAAUGCAUAUUGCAUGCAAGUGUAAUGAUAGCACAUUAUGUUUUAUAUUUUCAGAGUUGCCACGUUUGCUCCAGGAGGUGAAAAACCUAGAGAGGGAGAGAAUGAGACACACAAUUUCAAAGGACAUCAUGGUUAGUGGAUCCCCAGCCAUCUCCAAAACUCACAAUGACAUCAUGGCUGGACCCUCCAACCCACAAAAGCAGCACUCCAAGACAUAGUCGUCACAACCCUACCAGACAGCAUGCCUUUUUAAUUAGGCGAAACCAGAUGGAGAAGGAUGUCUUAAAAAUAAUUGAAUCGAAGCUUGAAUCGAAAUUGCUUAAGUCCAAGAUUUAGGUUUAAAACUGCUUUUUUUUUUACUCAAAGGGAGUAACUUGGAGGCUAAG
RNAcentral lists this long non-coding RNA (809 nucleotides) under Salmo salar (Atlantic salmon). RNAcentral's name for it is "lncRNA (ENSSSAG00000089938.1)". The record is from RNAcentral. Lineage: Eukaryota; Metazoa; Chordata; Actinopteri; Salmoniformes; Salmonidae.